AGCUCCAAUAGCGUAUAUUAAAGUUGUUGCAGUUAAAAAGCUCGUAGUUGGAUUUCUGGUGGGAGGGAUCGGUCCUGCAUUCAAUGUAGGAACUUGUAUCCUCUCCGGCCAUCCUUGGGUGGAUCUUGUCUGGCAUUAAGUUGUCAGUCAGGGGAUGCCCAUCGUUUACUGUGAAAAAAUUAGAGUGUUCAAAGCAGGCUUAUGCCAUUGAAUAUAUUAGCAUGGAAUAAUAAGAUAGGGCCCUGGUACUAUUUUGUUGGUUUGCGUACCGAGGUAAUGAUUAAUAGGGACAGUUGGGGGUAUUUGUAUUCAGUAUUCAGUGGUGAAAUACUUAGACCUACGGAAGACAAACUACUGCGAAAGCAUUUACCAAGGAUGUUUUCA
This 384-nucleotide ribosomal RNA is filed under the name uncultured marine Chaetocerotaceae. RNAcentral's name for it is "SSU rRNA". It matches the Rfam family "Eukaryotic small subunit ribosomal RNA", at positions 587 to 972 of the family's 1831-position model. Lineage: Eukaryota; Bacillariophyta; Thalassiosirophyceae; Chaetocerotales; Chaetocerotaceae. The record is from RNAcentral.